Molecule: long non-coding RNA, 1335 nt
Filed under: Olea europaea subsp. europaea
Lineage: Eukaryota; Viridiplantae; Streptophyta; Magnoliopsida; Lamiales; Oleaceae
Source: RNAcentral
UUAGACAAAUUCUGUCCAAAAGAGCCUCUAUUGCAACGUUUUGAAAUAUUUGGAGUGACGAUUACAACAAAUUAAAAAUUUGAAAAAAAACCUGCUAAUAUUUUAAAGGUUUGGAGCCUCUUAUGCAAUUAAACCAUAACAUAACAAUCAAUAUUCUCUAUAUUCACAAUUGGAGUUGAAAGUUCAAGAAGAGAUCCCAUUAGUUCUCGGUUCGGAAAGCCAGAUUCCGGUUAAAUUGUCCACGUCUGGCAGGAUAUUAACAUCCCAGAUAUGGCCGGUGUGCCUGUAUAUAAUUUUUUAUCAAUAUAUUACAAAUUUACCGAUGAACCGAAAAAAAAAAAAGAAAAAAAAAAAGAAAAGAAAAACUUCUUCGCCAAUUCCUUCACUUGCAGAGAAUUACUUCCUCUGUUUUCCCAAGUCUAACAGUUCAUUUCAUUAUAUCUGUAAUCCAAGUAUCCAGCCACCAAUAAAAUAGCAAUUAGGCAUUUUUUAAAUUAUUAUUUUAAUACAAAAGAAUCAUAUUUGAAGCAGCAAAACUUGGAUGCUCAGAAGCCAAGCGUAACGAGUAGAUUUCACUGGAGAACCCAACACAAAGUUAGGCCUCCUCACAUGUUAGCUUCUCAUCAACGCAUCAAAUUUUUCCCACUGAAUUACUGAAAUUGCAACCCAAAAAAGAAUAAAAGAAUUCAAGUUAUAAAGAGUGCUAAUGAAUACCAGAAUUUACCCACGUGUAAUUAUUCCUUUCCAAUUCCAUUUUCCGAGAGAAAAAUAAUUAGAAAAUGAAAAUAUUGCUACUAUGAAUUUGAAGGAAAGCAAAGAGAAAUCCAACUUCCUACAAUCGUGAUAAGUAGCUCUCUCUAUAGGCACCGUGCAAAAGUCAGCUUGUCAUUGAAUUUAGAGACGAAGCCACCGUAUCUGAAAAAAAUGCCAUAUUCGAGAAGAAAAUUACAAUAGAUAAUGUGACCAGUUUAUUGUAUCAUGAAACAACCAGAAUGGGUUUCAUGGAUCUUCAAACCAGCACAAUUUAUAUAGGCUCUACGCGGCAGACGGGUUACCAUCAAAAGGGCACCUGCUGCUGACUCAUAAACAGAGCCGAUACAAAUCCAUCAAUAAUCUGAUUGCUUUUCAGAGAAAAAAGUGAAAAUCAGUGAUUAAAAACAUAAUUCUGCGAAAAACUAAUCACACUUACGAAGUAGUACAUAACCAACUUGAGAGAUGAGACUUUAAACUUUUACGGCCACUAGGGCAAAGCACAGGAUGAUAUUGUGUAGAUUGUCUAUGGGCGGAAUAUAUAUAGAGUGGCGGGGACUUGACCCCCUCAAAACCCUAAAAGAG